Molecule: ribosomal RNA, 457 nt
Filed under: uncultured bacterium
Lineage: Bacteria
Description: partial 16S ribosomal RNA
Rfam family: Bacterial small subunit ribosomal RNA
Source: RNAcentral
GAUGAACGCUGGCGGCGUGCCUAAUACAUGCAAGUCGAGCGGUAAGGCCCUUCGGGGUACACGAGCGGCGGACGGCUGAGUAACACGUAGGAACGUACCCCAAACUGAGGGAUAAGCACCGGAAACGGUGUCUAAUACCGCAUGUGCUCUUCGGAGUAAAGCUACGGCGGUUUGGGAACGGCCUGCGCAUGAUUAGCUUGUUGGUGAGGUAAUGGCUCACCAAGGCGACGAUCAUUAGCUGGUCUGAGAGGAUGAUCAGCCAGACUGGGACUGAGACACGGCCCAGACUCCUACGGGAGGCAGCAGUAGGGAAUUUUCCACAAUGGGGGCAACCCUGAUGGAGCAACGCCGCGUGCAGGAUGAAUGCCUUCGGGUUGUAAACUGCUUUUAUCUGUGACGAUUAUGACGGUAGCAGAUGAAUAAGGAUCGGCUAACUCCGUGCCAGCCGCCGCGGUAA